AUGAGCAGCAAGGCGGAGACCCAGCAGCCGCCCGCUGCCCCGGCCGCCCGCCACCCUCAGUGCCGCAGACACCAAGCCCGGCUCCAGGGGCAGAGGCACGGGUAGUGGCAGCCCGGGGAAGCCUCACAUCGGUGGCAAGGGACAAGAAGGUCAUCGCAAUGAAGGUUUUAGGAACAGUAAAAUGGUUCAAUGUAAGGAACGGAUAUGGUUUCAUCAACAGGAAUGACACCAAGGAAAACGUAUUUGUACACCCAGACUGCCAUAAAGAAGAAUAACCCCAGGAAGUACCUUCGCAGUGUAGGAGAUGGAGAGACUGUGGAGUUUGAUGUUGUUGAAGGAGAAAAGGGUAUGGAGGCGGCAAAUGUUACAAGCCCUGGUGGAGUUCCAGUUUAAGGCAGUAAAUACUCAGCAGACCAUAACCAUUACAGAAACUUUCUUUGGCGUAGGAGUCCUCCAUGCAAUUACCAGAAAAAAUAUCAGAAUAGUGAGAGUGGGGAAAAGAACGAGGGAUCGGAAAGUGCUUCUGAAGGCCAGGCUCAACAACGCCAGCCCUAUCGCAGGCGAAGACUCCCACCUUACUACAUGUGGAGACGCUAUGCGCUGACCACAGUAUUCCAACUCCCCUGUGCAAGGAGAAGUGAUGGAGAGUGCUGACAACCAGAGUACAGGAGAGCAAGGUAGAUCAGUGAGACAGAAUAUGUAUGGGGUUACAGACCACGAUUCCGCAGGGGCCCUCCUCGCCAAAGACAGCCUAGAGAGGAUGGCAAUGAAGAGGACAAAGAAAAUCAAGGAGAUGAGAUCCAAGGUCAGCAGCCAUCUUGUAUCCUGCAACUUCAGUUACCAAUGCAGACGCCCAGAGAACCCUAAACCACAAGGUGGCAAAGAGCCAAAAGCAGGCAUACUUAAACGGGUUGAGUGA
Non-coding RNA from Arvicanthis niloticus (Nile rat), 919 nucleotides. The record is from RefSeq and is a predicted model, not a curated record. NCBI's taxonomy places the organism in Eukaryota, Metazoa, Chordata, Mammalia, Rodentia, Muridae.